CAUUACUGAUACAAUGAGCAGCACAGAAGCAAUGAUAUGUUAAAGUGUGACUUUUUUUCUGUACUUUUUAUUCUGUUAAAAUAUCUCUUUUUAUCCUGUUAGGUGAUCACAAAGGCCACCCAAGAGACAAAGAAUGUAUUUGGAUCCCAGCAGCAUUGCUUGUUGCCUGGAGUGAAGCUAUGUAAGCCCUUAGGAGAUGCUGAUGUUCUAACAGACAGGAGGGAUCCCAGUGAGGCUGAGCAACAGAAGCCAGUCUCUGCCAGGGAAAACACAGAGCCUGUGAGGAGCAGUGCAGGUUCCAGCAAACAAGGUGAAAGCCAUAUCCCACCAGUUCUCCGUCACAGAAAGGGGGCUCAUUGCCCUGAGUCAGUGGACAGUCGGAGAGCUGUAACUACAAAAGCUGACGGCGAUGACUCUGAUUUUUGGUGGAGGGAGAACUGGGAGCUACGUGUGCUGCUGCUGCUAUGGUUACUGCUCUACUGUUUCUGGGUGUUGCCUCAGAUCGACCUGAAGACACUGCCCAACAUGCUGCUGAACCGCUGAACACACACACACACACACACACACACACACACACAUGCACAAGCACAGCUUCUCUGAGCUAUGAGGAAAAAUAAAAAACUUUAAGUUUUUUAACAUGCACAUGCUCACACAGCCAACUGCCACAUUUUAAUGAAGAUAUUUAAAACAUGUAUAAUUUCAAACUUACAAGAGCUGGUUUUCUAUGUUUUGGUUUUUGGCUUCUAGUGUGGCUUGAAUCAGUCUAUGUGAGAGUGUAAAGGUCACUGGGGGAGGAAAAACAUUGCAGUCUUUUUAGAAAAAGAUCAUGCUUUUAUGAAAAUAAAGUUACAAAUUUAAGGAUAAAAAUAACCAAACCCGAUUCUGAAAAAGAUUGGACACUGUGUAAAAUGUAAGAAAAAAACCUUAACAGAAUUCUGUGAUCAGACAAACCAAUUUGAAAUUCUUCUUGGAAUGAAGAGGAGCUUGUUAUCAGCACUCAGUUCAAAAACCAGCAUCUUUGAUGGUAUGGGGCUGCAUUAGUGGCUAUGGAACUAGCAGCUGGCACAUCUGGAAAGACACAAUCAAUGCUACAAGGUCUAUAUACAUUUAAGAGAAACUAGCCAAAGACAUUAUCCUUUGGAUGGAUGCUCUCAUCCAAAGAUGACCAAGGACCGUUGAGCAGCUACAAUCCCAUGUAAGACAAGAAUGGGCCAAUAUUCCACUCCUAAAAGUCCAACUGCUGGGCCAUGUUCCAGGAAGCAUGUUGAAAAAUAACAGAGAUGGGCAAUUCAGAGUUUCUUGUUCUGGAACAGCUGAUUGGAGUUAGGUCAAUCAACUCUGAAUGUGGUCACCCUGAGAUAUGCGCAUGCAUGGCCAGGGAAAGAAAACCAUCAUUAAUGGAGCUCUGAUACUAUUAUUCACCACAGAAUAUGAACAGAAGGGAAAAAGAGUACUAUUAAUCAGUGUGGGCCACUUUGUCAUCAUCACAGAUAAGUUUGAUAAUAAAAUAUAGCAUUUUUACUGCUAAGCCAUUAAAGGCUGAUGGGUAUUGUCAUCACCCUGUCAGGUCGACAUCCAAUUUCGUGAACACGCGAACGAGGUAACGAAGGAUUUUUAAAUUAAUACAUAGGUACAUCUGUUAGAAGAUUCUGGGGUAGCAGUGGCGGUAUAGUUUUUAUAACGCCUGCUGGCAUCAUGCACCCAACUAUUUUUUUAGAUGAAGCUAGAAUCCUAAUUUGAUUUGAUAUCUAAAUUUAAUUAUUCACUUCUAACCUAAGAACGACAAAAUGUAGGUGAAAAAAGCGAAGAUAAAAAUGUCAGAUCUGAAUCCAUGAUCUGUUUUGGAUAAGUGGACUCUGACACGGUUUGCUGAUCUUUUGCAGAGCCUAUGAUCUCAGCAAUUAAGGUUCCAGGUUGACUCGACACUAAUUUAGCUGCUUUUCAGUGUAAAAUGUGUCAAGGCUCAGACUCUGAAAUUCAGAUACCAAAAUGUUGUUUGACAUAAUUCAUAAUAAUAAUGACUUCAUCUCAGUCUGUGAACACAAUGUAAAUGCUCAGAACCUGCAGAUAGUCCAUGUUUAAGAACAACUCUAAAAUAUAUGGAGUUCAGUUUGAGUGUCAAUGUCGUGAUAUGUUGUGCGGCAGGCAGGGCUUGGACCCGAUAUGCAGGACCCUGGAGACAAAAGGGUAAACUCAAAAGGAUGUUUACUCCUGGAUGUCAAGGAGACAAAGCUGGGCUCAAGGCAGAAUUGCAAAAGUAGGAGACAAAAGAGAAAAAACAGAACGUGGGAGCAUGGACAAUAAAACAUGAACUGAAGAAAACUGAGACAACUGACUGGCAAAAUCAGACAGGAAGUCAUGAAAACACCUGCACUGAGGGAACAGGGAAGGCUAGGAAGAAUAAGUAUAAACCAAAUCACCAAAACCAGAAUGAUAAUAAAAGAUAGACAUUAAUUGAAACGUGUUUAUUAAAUUAUAAACAAAAACCCAGAAACUUCAGGACAUAAUCCAAACAUAAUUACAAUAACACAAAAAAAUAGAUUUAAAAAAAUUAACUGAGGAAAAAGAACAACAAACUGAAAACACUGACUCCAGGAACCAUGACACUUAAAGUCAUCUCAGCCCCACCUAGUGUUCGCGCAAAUAUUUACAUCAGCUCCAAGAUCCAGAUGUGACACGUUUUUCGUCACUGUGACAGCUGAUAAUAUUUCCAGUGUGCAACACACAGUAAAUGUUUUCAGGAAACUGGCUGACAGCCUGACAGCAUUAUUGUCAAGGACUUAGAAAGAUGGAGAGUAUAGAUAUGACUUUGAGUUUGUUAACCCUGAGAUGAGGGAAACUUUAUUAUCAACUCAGUUUUAGUUAAGCCUUCUUCCCAGAUGCUCAUAGUGUUUAUACAAGCUGCCAUCAAAUUCAAGAUGACCUAAUAAUUUUCUUAAAUAAUCCCAAGUUUAAACAUUUAUUAUUUUUUCAGUUUUUUUAAAUUGUGAAUAAAAUAUGGGUUUAUGAGAUUUGCAAAUCAUUGCAUUCUGUUUUUAAACACAUUUUGCACAGGAACCAAAAAAAGCUACAUUUCAAACACACACAGUAUCUUUGACUUUUACAUGACUGUAAAAGAUCCUGCAACUUUAUUCUUGAAAUUUCAGUGCACUCAUAUUAAUUAAUAUUAAAAUAAAUGUAUCAACUUUUACGAAAAGGGGGUUAUAGAAUAAAAGUUUUAAUAGAAAAAUAAAGGCUUUUUUGUUUUGUACAAAUAAGUCCUAUUUAUAAAGGCUUAAGAAUAAAGCUGCAGUUGUGCAAGUAAAACUGUAACAACAUCUAUGUAGGUAUAUGGUACAAUGCAUUUUUAAAUACACUUAUCAGACAUUUGUUUUUAAGGCUUUAUGCAUUUCAGAUGUCUAAUGUAUCAAAACAUUAGAUACUAUUUAAAAAUCAUUAAAUUAUUACAUUAAAACACAUAGUCGCCAUACAUUAAUUGUGUUGCUGUAGCCUGUCCUGCCUGGGGCACAUCCACAGUUAGUGCAUUGUAAUGUACAUCUCCACAGAUGAGUCCAUGCAAUCAGAAAAACUUGACAGGCUUGGAGAUGUCCUCAUGAACUCGUGCACUCACUGUCCAGUGAGAAAAAUGUCACUUGAACCCAAGCAGGCCCUGCUACAUUAAUGUGACUUUUUGUCCACCACUGCUAUAUAGACCUUGUCACAUAUUAUUAGAAACCUUUAGUCAGGUGUCAAGCUCCAUAACAGCAUUAUGCUGAUUUGCAUCAUAGACAUGAUGACCUUAAUAAACAAGGU
Molecule: long non-coding RNA, 3792 nt
Organism: Oreochromis aureus
Lineage: Eukaryota; Metazoa; Chordata; Actinopteri; Cichliformes; Cichlidae
Source: Ensembl